AAAGAUUCAUCGCUGAUAGAUAGGCAUGCGUUCCAUUAGGCAGUUGGCGGGGUAACGGCCCACCAAACCGACGAUGGAUAGGGGUUCUGAGAGGAAGGUCCCCCACAUUGGUACUGAGACACGGACCAAACUCCUACGGGAGGCAGCAGUGAGGAAUAUUGGUCAAUGGGCGUAAGCCUGAACCAGCCAAGUCGCGUGAGGGAUGAAGGUUCUAUGGAUCGUAAACCUCUUUUAUAAGGGAAUAAAGUGUGGGACGUGUCCUAUUUUGUAUGUACCUUAUGAAUAAGGAUCGGCUAACUCCGUGCCAGCAGCCGCGGUAAUACGGAGGAUCCGAGCGUUAUCCGGAUUUAUUGGGUUUAAAGGGUGCGUAGGCGGCCUUUUAAGUCAGCGGUGAAAGUCUGUGGCUCAACCAUAGAAUUGCCGUUGAAACUGGGGGGCCUGAGUAUGUUUGAGGCAGGCGGAAUGCGUGGUGUAGCGGUGAAAUGCUUAGAUAUCACGCAGAACCCCGAUUGCGAAGGCAGCCUGCCAAGCCAUGACUGACGCUGAUGCACGAAAGCGUGGGGAUCAAACAGGAUUAGAUACCCUGGUAGUCCACGCAGUAA
RNAcentral lists this ribosomal RNA (602 nucleotides) under uncultured bacterium. RNAcentral describes it as "bacterial SSU rRNA". It matches the Rfam family "Bacterial small subunit ribosomal RNA", at positions 202 to 805 of the family's 1533-position model. The record is from RNAcentral.